Molecule: non-coding RNA, 899 nt
Organism: Amborella trichopoda
Lineage: Eukaryota; Viridiplantae; Streptophyta; Magnoliopsida; Amborellales; Amborellaceae
Source: RefSeq, a predicted model, not a curated record
UUUGGACGCCCACUAUAGAGACGUUUUUGGUGUCCAACAACAAGACCAACCUAAUUAUGAGAGGAACUUGUUGAUAGGAGUAAGUACUGGGAUGACUUGGAGGAAGGGGAGGAAUAGAUGGAAGAAGAGGAAUUGGAGUUUCCCGUAGUAGGCCAACUGGUGUGAAGGCACCUGACGUCAUUGAUCUUCGAAAGUAAUAAAGGAAAGAGCCAAGGAAGCCUAUUGACCAAAUGAGUACAUUGAAAGAUUUUGGGCACAAUCUUCUAGUACUCGAAGAGAAGGAAGAAAGGAUUGCACCAGGAACCUUACUUGGAACAACGCACAUGUAUGUGCUUGGGGCAAUGGAUAAAACUGGUGCUAAAAGGGUUGAGCUACUACUAGGACUAAGUAGAUGUCACUCUUUGGUUGGAAGAAUUAGAGGCUUUGGAUGAUGUUACUAUGGCAGCAAAGUAAGCAAGGGAAGAGGAGAAACUAUAAAAUCAACGCAAAGGACUUCAGUGACAUUGUGGCAGAGGCUAAGAAAAAGAGGAAUCGCAAGAUGUAGGAAAAAGAAAGGGAAGGCAAAUAAGAAGGAUUUCAAGUUUUAGGCACAAAGCUAUACAUCAAAUUUGCAUGCUCCCCCUCCCCCAUUGGAUAUAUUCUGUUUGGGGAAUAUACUAUGAACUCUGAAAUUUGAAAUAUCUGAUACAUUGAAAGUUCUUAUCGAUAUGUAAAAUGUGAAGUUCUUUGGUUGAUCUUGAGCCCAUCUUGGUUCGAUUAAUAAAUGGACAAGGCAGCUAGCUACUAUUGAGGUAGGAGUGAUGUUUAAAGGGAAUUUGAUUAGUGAAUCCAUUAUGAGAUCGUCAAAGAAUCUUAACAGUGCCUGAAGUUGGUGGAAAGUUAGAAGUUGUUUUAUUUUC